RNAcentral lists this ribosomal RNA (327 nucleotides) under uncultured eukaryote. RNAcentral describes it as "partial 18S ribosomal RNA". It matches the Rfam family "Eukaryotic small subunit ribosomal RNA", at positions 1470 to 1796 of the family's 1831-position model. The record is from RNAcentral.
CCCUUAGAUGUUCUGGGCUGCACGCGCGCUACACUGAAGCGUUCAACGAGUAUUCACCUUGCCCGGGAGGGUCGGGUAAUCUUUUGAAAACGCUUCGUGAUGGGGAUAGAUUAUUGCAAUUAUUAAUCUUCAACGAGGAAUUCCUAGUAAGCGCGGGUCAUCAUCCCGCGCUGAAUACGUCCCUGCCCUUUGUACACACCGCCCGUCGCUCCUACCGAUUGAGUGGUCCGGUGAGGCUUUGGGAUCUGAGCGGAAAGAGCGUUUCGCUGUUUCUGCUCGGAAAACUCAGUCGAACCUUAUCAUUUAGAGGAAGGAGAAGUCGUAACA